GACGAACGCUGGCGGCACGCUUAACACAUGCAAGUCGAACGGAGUUAAUUGGAGCUUGCUUUGAUUAACUUAGUGGCGGACGGGUGAGUAACACGUGAGCAACCUGCCUUUAAGAGAGGAAUAACAGUCUGAAAAGACUGCUAAUACCUCAUAACAUAACGAAGCCGCAUGACUUUGUUAUCAAAGAUUUAUCGCUUAAAGAUGGGCUCGCGUCUGAUUAGCUUGUUGGUGAGGUAACGGCCCACCAAGGCGACGAUCAGUAGCCGUACUGAGAGGUAGAUCGGCCACAUUGGGACUGAGACACGGCCCAGACUCCUACGGGAGGCAGCAGUGGGGAAUAUUGCACAAUGGAGGAAACUCUGAUGCAGCGAUGCCGCGUGAGGGAAGAAGGUUUUCGGAUUGUAAACCUCUGUCUUCAGGGACGAUAAUGACGGUACCUGAGGAGGAAGCUCCGGCUAACUACGUGCCAGCAGCCGCCGUAA
RNAcentral lists this ribosomal RNA (482 nucleotides) under uncultured bacterium. Its description in RNAcentral is "partial 16S ribosomal RNA". It matches the Rfam family "Bacterial small subunit ribosomal RNA", at positions 28 to 523 of the family's 1533-position model. The record is from RNAcentral.